CAAUCAGAGCAGGGAAAGAGGCAGCCAAUCAGGGUCGGGCUAGGUCCUAUAAAAAGGCUGCCUAGCAGAGGAGAAGGCAGUCACUCCCUGAGUAGUGAGGGAGAAGAAUUGGAUCCUGAGCUAAGGAGUAGCACCUUGGACAGAGCAGUGCUGGGCAAGCUUGAGGAAGCAGAGCAGGACUUUGGCCCAGAUACUUGCCAGGCUGUGGCCCUCGCUAAGAGGCGUUGAGAAGAAACUCUCACUAUAUAAAAGGCAUAUAUGAUGGCAUUCUAUGAAAGUUUUAGUGGCAUGAAUUUGGGAUGGUCACAUUACUCAUAAGUGGACUCAAAAUUGCACCCUUCCUGGCACAUCAGGCCAGUGAAAUUAUUUUGGCGAGGAAAGAGAAGUUCCAUAUUUGAUGGGAAGAGAAAUAUUGCUAUGACAUUGUGGGACAGAUUCAUCCCAGGUGCUGCUCAAUUGAAAUGGAUGGAGUGACAUCAGAGAACAUUAUGGAUAUGGAUUGCCUAUGUAAUACAUACAGGAGGAUUAAUAAAUUGAAUUAACCUGUGUCAUCAUGAAGGCUGAUAUCAGAAGCACUUGUAUUUCAAUCUGGAUGUUAUCUGUCUUUUAUGAUUUCAUUGAAAUGAGGGCCUUUCUUCUUCUGAGCAGUGUUCUUUGGAAUUACCCCUCUAUCAAUACUUCUGGCUUAUACACUUAUGGAUAUUAUACUUUUGCCAGACUGUGGUACUGCUGAAAAUACAUAUUUGCUUUGGCGGACAGGAACACAGUCAAUAUUAAACUAGUUGCAUUAUUUUGCACAGAG
Molecule: long non-coding RNA, 802 nt
Organism: Dermochelys coriacea (leatherback sea turtle)
Lineage: Eukaryota; Metazoa; Chordata; Testudines; Dermochelyidae
Exons: 3
Source: RefSeq, a predicted model, not a curated record